Molecule: ribosomal RNA, 728 nt
Filed under: uncultured bacterium
Lineage: Bacteria
Description: bacterial SSU rRNA
Rfam family: Bacterial small subunit ribosomal RNA
Source: RNAcentral
UAGCUUGCUAAUAAUUCUCUAGUGGCGCACGGGUGAGUAACACGUGAGUAACCUGCCCCCAAGAGUGGGAUAGCCCCGGGAAACUGGGAUUAAUACCGCAUAAAAUCGCAAGAUUAAAGCAGCAAUGCGCUUGGGGAUGGGCUCGCGUCCUAUUAGUUAGUUGGUGAGGUAACGGCUCACCAAGGCGAUGACGGGUAGCCGGUCUGAGAGGAUGUCCGGCCACACUGGAACUGAGACACGGUCCAGACACCUACGGGUGGCAGCAGUCGAGAAUCAUUCACAAUGGGGGAAACCCUGAUGGUGCGACGCCGCGUGGGGGAAUGAAGGUCUUCGGAUUGUAAACCCCUGUCAUGUGGGAGCAAAUUAAAAAGAUAGUACCACAAGAGGAAGAGACGGCUAACUCUGUGCCAGCAGCCGCGGUAAUACAGAGGUCUCAAGCGUUGUUCGGAAUCACUGGGCGUAAAGCGUGCGUAGGCGGUUUCGUAAGUCGUGUGUGAAAGGCGGGGGCUCAACCCCCGGACUGCACAUGAUACUGCGAGACUAGAGUAAUGGAGGGGGAACCGGAAUUCUCGGUGUAGCAGUGAAAUGCGUAGAUAUCGAGAGGAACACUCGUGGCGAAGGCGGGUUCCUGGACAUUAACUGACGCUGAGGCACGAAGGCCAGGGGAGCGAAAGGGAUUAGAUACCCCUGUAGUCCUGGCAGUAAACGGUGCACGCUUGGUGUGCGGG